ACCUAGCCCAGAUUGCAGCAUUUGUCUGAGCUCAUUUACUAAGUUUCGGCUGCGGCGGCUUUGCCGCCGCAGCCGAAACUUAGUAAAUAGCGAGUGCGGAAAGCUGGAAACAGC
RNAcentral lists this unclassified non-coding RNA (114 nucleotides) under Chryseobacterium gambrini. RNAcentral describes it as "Flavo-1 RNA". The record is from RNAcentral. Lineage: Bacteria; Pseudomonadati; Bacteroidota; Flavobacteriia; Flavobacteriales; Weeksellaceae.